Molecule: ribosomal RNA, 301 nt
Filed under: uncultured bacterium
Lineage: Bacteria
Description: partial 16S ribosomal RNA
Rfam family: Bacterial small subunit ribosomal RNA
Source: RNAcentral
CAGUAGCCGCGGUAAUACGGAGGGAGCUAGCGUUGUUCGGAAUUACUGGGCGUAAAGCGCACGUAGGCGGUUAUUCAAGUCAGAGGUGAAAGCCCGGGGCUCAACCCCGGAACUGCCUUUGAAACUAGAUGACUGGAAUCUUGGAGAGGUCAGUGGAAUUCCGAGUGUAGAGGUGAAAUUCGUAGAUAUUCGGAAGAACACCAGUGGCGAAGGCGACUGACUGGACAAGUAUUGACGCUGAGGUGCGAAAGCGUGGGGAGCAAACAGGAUUAGAUACCCCUGUAGUCCCUGUCUCUUAUAC